RNAcentral lists this ribosomal RNA (440 nucleotides) under uncultured bacterium. RNAcentral describes it as "partial 16S ribosomal RNA". It matches the Rfam family "Bacterial small subunit ribosomal RNA", at positions 338 to 795 of the family's 1533-position model. The record is from RNAcentral.
CCUACGGGAUGCAGCAGUGGGGAAUAUUGGACAAUGGGGGAAACCCUGAUCCAGCGACGUCGCGUGAGUGAAGAAGUAUUUCGGUACGUAAAGCUCUAUCUGCAGGAAAGAAAAUGCCGUUACCUGACUACGAAGCCCCGGCUAACUACGUUCCAGCAGCCGCGGUAAUACGGAGGGGGCAAGCGUUAUCCGGCUUGACCGGGUGUAAAGGGAGCGUAGACGGCAGCGCAAGUCUGGAGUGAAAUGCCGGGGCUCAACCCCGGAACUGCGCUGGACACUGGGAAGCUGGAGUGCAGGAGAGGUAAGCGCAAUGCGUGGUGUAGCGGUUAAAUGCGUAGAUAUCAGGAGGAACACCGACGACGAAGGCGGCUUACUGGACUGUAACUGACGUGGAGGCGCGAAGGCGUGGGGAGCAAACAGGAUUAGAUACCCCUGUAGUC